RNAcentral lists this unclassified non-coding RNA (229 nucleotides) under Rhizophagus sp. (in: glomeromycetes). RNAcentral describes it as "partial contains 5.8S ribosomal RNA and internal transcribed spacer 2". The stretch from base 1 to 65 matches the Rfam family "5.8S ribosomal RNA", at positions 84 to 154 of the family's 154-position model. The record is from RNAcentral. Lineage: Eukaryota; Fungi; Glomeromycota; Glomeromycetes; Glomerales; Glomeraceae.
GUGAAUCAUCGAAUCUUUGAACGCAAAUUGCACUCUCUUCGGAGCGUAUGCCUGUUUGAGGGUCAGUAUUAAUAAACAUCGGUAUGUUGCGUCUUUGUGGCGCUCCGGAGUUUGGGUCAUCUUCAUAUCCUUUAGGUUUUAAGAGGCUUAGAAUUACCUUUUUUUGCGCAUUUUAGAUGUACAUCAAUUCUUUUUUUUAUUCGUCUGUCUUAAUGCUCAAUUUCCUAUU